This 1369-nucleotide ribosomal RNA is filed under the name uncultured bacterium. RNAcentral describes it as "bacterial SSU rRNA". It matches the Rfam family "Bacterial small subunit ribosomal RNA", at positions 28 to 1381 of the family's 1533-position model. The record is from RNAcentral.
GAUGAACGCUGGCGGCGUGCCUAAUACAUGCAAGUCGAGCGAACGGACGAGAAGCUUGCUUCUCUGAUGUUAGCGGCGGACGGGUGAGUAACACGUGGAUAACCUACCUAUAAGACUGGGAUAACUUCGGGAAACCGGAGCUAAUACCGGAUAAUAUUUUGAACCGCAUGGUUCAAAAGUGAAAGACGGUCUUGCUGUCACUUAUAGAUGGAUCCGCGCUGCAUUAGCUAGUUGGUAAGGUAACGGCUUACCAAGGCAACGAUGCAUAGCCGACCUGAGAGGGUGAUCGGCCACACUGGAACUGAGACACGGUCCAGACUCCUACGGGAGGCAGCAGUAGGGAAUCUUCCGCAAUGGGCGAAAGCCUGACGGAGCAACGCCGCGUGAGUGAUGAAGGUCUUCGGAUCGUAAAACUCUGUUAUUAGGGAAGAACAUAUGUGUAAGUAACUGUGCACAUCUUGACGGUACCUAAUCAGAAAGCCACGGCUAACUACGUGCCAGCAGCCGCGGUAAUACGUAGGUGGCAAGCGUUAUCCGGAAUUUAUGGGCGUAGCGCGCGUAGGCGGUUUUUUAGUCUGAUGUGAAAGCCCACGGCUCAACCGUGGAGGGUCAUUGGAAACUGGAAAACUUGAGUGCAGAAGAGGAAAGUGGAAUUCCAUGUGUAGCGGUGAAAUGCGCAGAGAUAUGGAGGAACACCAGUGGCGAAGGCGACUUUCUGGUCUGUAACUGACGCUGAUGUGCGAAAGCGUGGGGAUCAAACAGGAUUAGAUACCCUGGUAGUCCACGCCGUAAACGAUGAGUGCUAAGUGUUAGGGGGUUUCCGCCCCUUAGUGCUGCAGCUAACGCAUUAAGCACUCCGCCUGGGGAGUACGACCGCAAGGUUGAAACUCAAAGGAAUUGACGGGGACCCGCACAAGCGGUGGAGCAUGUGGUUUAAUUCGAAGCAACGCGAAGAACCUUACCAAAUCUUGACAUCCUUUGACAACUCUAGAGAUAGAGCCUUCCCCUUCGGGGGACAAAGUGACAGGUGGUGCAUGGUUGUCGUCAGCUCGUGUCGUGAGAUGUUGGGUUAAGUCCCGCAACGAGCGCAACCCUUAAGCUUAGUUGCCAUCAUUAAGUUGGGCACUCUAAGUUGACUGCCGGUGACAAACCGGAGGAAGGUGGGGAUGACGUCAAAUCAUCAUGCCCCUUAUGAUUUGGGCUACACACGUGCUACAAUGGACAAUACAAAGGGCAGCGAAACCGCGAGGUCAAGCAAAUCCCAUAAAGUUGUUCUCAGUUCGGAUUGUAGUCUGCAACUCGACUACAUGAAGCUGGAAUCGCUUGUAAUCGUAGAUCAGCAUGCUACGGUGAAUACGUUCCCGGGUCU